This is a long non-coding RNA of Olea europaea var. sylvestris, 694 nucleotides long. RefSeq lists it as uncharacterized. Lineage: Eukaryota; Viridiplantae; Streptophyta; Magnoliopsida; Lamiales; Oleaceae. The record is from RefSeq and is a predicted model, not a curated record. The transcript is spliced from 3 exons.
UCUCAUAUUCAAGUCGCCAGCAACCGCUUUGGUAUUUUCUGGCUACUGCACAACCCAAAUCAAUCUUACCCGUUGACAGUAAUUUAGCUGGAUCCACUCCAUUGUCCCUCCAACCUGUUUAUUGUUUAGAUUUUGAAAAAUAUGACAUCCGGAGUUGGAUCUAUUAUGAAUUUCGCUGUUCAACGUGCCAUUUGUUCAAAAUGGAGGCUCAUUCCCUCAGAGGAAAAGUAUAUGGAAUUUCGGGAACACAUCCAUAAGCGUCGCUUCAUUUGUUAAAAAGCCAGGGAAUGGCAUCCUCGUAUAUCGUGUAAUGAUUUAGCGGAUCUUGCAAAAGAUGGAAGUUGGCGCUGGGCAAUUGACAAACCCAGCAUUCUGCAACCCCCUCCUGGUUGGGAAAGGAAAGUGAAAAUCCGAUGCUUUGGAAGCACUAAAUAUGCGGAUGUGUAUUAUGAAGCACCAACAAAAAAGCAACUGAGGUCUUUGGUAGAUGUUCACAAGUACAAUUCUGCACUAUUUUGAAACUACUGUUUGUCUUUCACUUUUAUUCCUUAAAGCCUAAAUAGUUUAUACCUUUCUUUGUCUGCGAGUCUUCUGAUUCUUCUUUUUCGAGUUAUCUGGAUGCACAUCCACGACAUGUAGAAGGUGUCAACAUGUCGCAAUUUUCUUUUGAGACUUUGGUCGUCAAAGGAAUAAU